CCUACGGGGUGCAGCAGUGGGGAAUAUUGGGCAAUGGAGGCAACUCUGACCCAGCAACGCCGCGUGAAGGAAGAAGGCCUUAGGGUUGUAAACUUAUGUUGUAAAGGAAGAAAAGAAUGACGGUACUUUACAAGAAAGCCCCGUCUAACUAUGUGCCAGCAGCCGCGGUAAGACAUAGGGGGCAAGCGUUGUUCGGAUUUACUGGGCGUAAAGGGAGCGUAGGCGGGAGAUUAAGUUAAGAGUGAAAGCCUUGGGCUCAACCCAAGAAAUGCUCUUAAUACUGGUUUUCUAGAGUGUGGGAGAGGUAAGUGGAAUUCCUAGUGUAGCGGUAGAAUGCGUAGAUAUCAGGAGGAACACCGGCGGCGAAGGCGGCCUGCUGGACCGCGACUGACGUUGAGGCUCGAAAGCGUGGGGAGCGAACAGGAUUAGAUACCCCUGUAGUC
Molecule: ribosomal RNA, 443 nt
Filed under: uncultured bacterium
Lineage: Bacteria
Description: partial 16S ribosomal RNA
Rfam family: Bacterial small subunit ribosomal RNA
Source: RNAcentral